RNAcentral lists this ribosomal RNA (460 nucleotides) under uncultured bacterium. RNAcentral describes it as "partial 16S ribosomal RNA". It matches the Rfam family "Bacterial small subunit ribosomal RNA", at positions 338 to 795 of the family's 1533-position model. The record is from RNAcentral.
CCUACGGGUGGCAGCAGUGAGGAAUAUUGGUCAAUGGACGAGAGUCUGAACCAGCCACGUAGCGUGAAGGAUGAAUGCCCUAUGGAUUGUAAACUUCUUUUAUAAGGGAAUAAAACGCGGCACGUGUGCCUUUUUGCAUGUAUUUUAUGCAUAAGGAUCGGCUAACUCCGUGCAAGCAGCCGCGGUAAUACGGAUGAACCGAGUGUUAUCCGGAUUUAUUGGGUAUAAAGGGAGCGUAGAUGGGUUGUUAAGUCCGGUGUGAAAGUUUGCGGCUCAACCGUAAAAUUGCAGUUGAUACUGGUAGUCUUGAGUACAGUUGAGGUAGGCGGAAUUCGUGGUGUAGCGGUGAAAUGCUUAGAUAUCACGAAGAACCCCGAUGGCGAAGGCAGCUUACUAAACUGUGACUGACAUUGAUGCUCGAAAGUGUGGGUAUCAAACAGGAUUAGAUACCCCAGUAGUC